Molecule: non-coding RNA, 46 nt
Organism: Schistosoma rodhaini
Lineage: Eukaryota; Metazoa; Platyhelminthes; Trematoda; Strigeidida; Schistosomatidae
Source: Rfam
GCACUUCUGAGAAGUCCCAUAAUAGGACGAAACGGCCGUCCAGUGC